ACCAAUCAAUAAUUCUGACAUGCUAUCAAUAUACCGAGCAAUGAUAGGCCAACUGAUAGUUGUCUGAUUUAUGAUAUCAAUAAAUUGUAUAAUGUUUAUAAGAAUUAAAAGAAGACACUCUGCAUAUAUACCCACUCACGAUUUUUACUCGUUGAAAAGAUGGGGGAUACCAAGGUUAGAGCUUUAUGUGAUGAAUUCUGGGAAUGGAGGAUGCGUCAGAGCCCGGUGUUUGCCUCGUACUGUGGAGAUCAGCGAUAUUCCCAUUUGUUGGAUGAGAUCGACCCAGACGCCUUCCUUGGGUUUGAGAAAGAUGUUUCCAAGCUUAUAAAAAAAGCAGAUAAUAUCCAGGUAAAGGAUUUAUCAAAACCUGCCAGAGAUGAACUCUUACUUGUGAAAGACCAGCUGCAGACUUUUUUGGCUGGAAUGAAGCACAAGGGUUGGUAUUUUCCAAUCAACUUUAUGGAUGGCUUGCAUGCAGAUAUACCUAAAGUUAUGUGUGUGUCCAACCAAGACAGAGGAAGACGUCAGAAAUCUCAAUAAAAGAAUAGAGGGUUACGGACAGAAAGCAAGGUCUUGUGUACAGAUAUUAAAGGAGGGAGUGAAAAAUGGAUAUGUUUUCCAUCUUCUCUCAAUAGAAGGUGUGCCAGAUCAGAUUUAUAAUAUGAUCAAUGUUGAGCUUAGCCCAGAAAGCGAUGUUUUUCUUUCUCCAUACAAAGAGUUCCCCGAAGGAUCCAUAGAAACUUCUAUAAAGUAAGAAAAAUAUAU
Long non-coding RNA from Saccostrea cuccullata (small rock oyster), 765 nucleotides. RefSeq lists it as uncharacterized. The record is from RefSeq and is a predicted model, not a curated record. The transcript is spliced from 5 exons. Lineage: Eukaryota; Metazoa; Mollusca; Bivalvia; Ostreida; Ostreidae.